RNAcentral lists this unclassified non-coding RNA (263 nucleotides) under plant metagenome. Its description in RNAcentral is "partial contains small subunit ribosomal RNA, internal transcribed spacer 1, and 5.8S ribosomal RNA". The stretch from base 1 to 54 matches the Rfam family "Eukaryotic small subunit ribosomal RNA", at positions 1778 to 1831 of the family's 1831-position model. The record is from RNAcentral.
GGAAGUAAAAGUCGUAACAAGGUUUCCGUAGGUGAACCUGCGGAAGGAUCAUUAUUGAAUGAAACACUUCUGGCUUUAUGCUGUUGUGCUGGCCCUUUGGGCAAUGUGCACACGGCUCUGGUCACUUGUUUCUUCUGUUCCGCCUGUGCACUGCCUGUAGACGCGCUGUGUCUAUGAUAUUUGUUAACACACAACAAUGUUAGUUGGCAUGUUAUAUAUAAUAAUAAAAUAUACAACUUUCAACAACGGAUCUCUUGGCUCUC